This 500-nucleotide ribosomal RNA is filed under the name uncultured bacterium. RNAcentral's name for it is "partial 16S ribosomal RNA". It matches the Rfam family "Bacterial small subunit ribosomal RNA", at positions 30 to 523 of the family's 1533-position model. The record is from RNAcentral.
AUUGAACGCUGGCGGAAUGCUUUACACAUGCUAGUCGAACGGCAGCACGGACUUCGGUCUGGUGGCGAGUGGCGAACGGGUGAGAAAUGUAUCGGAACGUGCCCAGUCGUGGGGGAUAACGUAGUGAAAAUUACGCUAAUACCGCAUACGAUCUAUGGAUGAAAGCGGGGGAUCGCAAGACCUCGCGCGAUUGGAGCGGCCGAUAUCAGAUUAGGUAGUUGGUGGGGUAAAGGCCCACCAAGCCAACGAUCUGUAGCAGGUCUGAGAGGACGACCAGCGACACUGGGACUGAGGCACGGACCAGACUCCUACAGGAGGCAGCAGUGGGGAAUUUUGGACAAUGGGCGAAAGCCUGAUCCAGCCAUUCCGCGUGCAGGAUGAAGGCCCUCGGGUUGUAAACUGCUCUUGUACAGAACGAAAAGGUUUCUACUAAUACUAGGAGCUCAUGACGGUACUGUAAGAAUAAGCACCGGCUAACUACGUGCCAGCAGCCGCGGUAA